AAUGAACGCUGGCGGCGGGCCUAACACAUGCAAGUCGAACGGCAGCACAAUAAGCGUUCGCCCUUACGGGUAGCGACUGGCGGAUGGGUGAGGCAUACAUCAGCUUCCUCUUUUUCUUGGGGGAUAUCGUAGGAACACUUAUACUAAUAGCGCAUACGACCUACGGGUGAAAGCAGGAGAUCUUUGCGUCUUGCGUGAUAGAUUGAGACGAAGUCGGAUUUGCUAGUUGGCGGGGUAAAGGCACACCAAGGCGACGAUCCGUAGCCGGGCUGAGAGGGUGAUCGGCCACACUGGAACUGAGACACGGUCCAGACUCCUACGGGAGGCAGCAGUGGGGAAUCUUGCGCAAUGGGCGAAAGCCUGAUGCAGCAAGGCCGCGUGGGUGAAGAAGGCCUUCGGAUUGUAAAGCCCUUUUAUUGGGGAAGAACAGCAGCAGAAUUAUACCUCGCUGUUCUGACGGUACCCAAACAAAAAGCACCGGCUAACUACGUG
This 492-nucleotide ribosomal RNA is filed under the name uncultured bacterium. RNAcentral describes it as "partial 16S ribosomal RNA". It matches the Rfam family "Bacterial small subunit ribosomal RNA", at positions 29 to 507 of the family's 1533-position model. The record is from RNAcentral.